Molecule: long non-coding RNA, 199 nt
Organism: Centruroides sculpturatus (bark scorpion)
Lineage: Eukaryota; Metazoa; Arthropoda; Arachnida; Scorpiones; Buthidae
Exons: 3
Source: RefSeq, a predicted model, not a curated record
AUCUUCGAGGCUGUUUGGGAUGUUAUCAAGAAGCUGCUUCCUCAAGCGGGUAUCGACAGAGUUAAAUUCGUGGACAAGAAGGGUAUGUUAGAAUACAUCGACGAGGAUAAACUACCAGAAUGUUACGGAGGAACCGAUCAAUCGGAAUUUAAAUACCACGAAUCUCUGAAAGAUACAGACGUAUUGUUUCGUGAGAAAA